RNAcentral lists this ribosomal RNA (481 nucleotides) under uncultured bacterium. Its description in RNAcentral is "bacterial SSU rRNA". It matches the Rfam family "Bacterial small subunit ribosomal RNA", at positions 8 to 507 of the family's 1533-position model. The record is from RNAcentral.
AGAGUUUGAUCCUGGCUCAGGAUGAACGCUGGCGGCGUGCGUAACACAUGCAAGUUGAACGACGGUGCCAUGAAGUGGUAACACGGAGUGGUAUACGGAGUAGCGGACGGGUGAGUAAAGCAUGAGGAUCUGUCCUGUCGAGGGGGAUAACGUUCGGAAACGGACCCUAAUACCCCAUAGUCCGAGAGGUUAAAGGCAGCGAUGCGCGGCAGGAGGAGCUCGUGUCCUAUCAGCUAGUUGGUGAGGUAACGGCUCACCAAGGCUUCGACGGGUAGCCGGCCUGAGAGGGUGACCGGCCACACUGGAACUGAGAAACGGUCCAGACUCCUACGGGAGGCAGCAGUGGGGAAUAUUGGGCAAUGGGAGGAAUCCUGACCCAGCGACGCCGCGUGAACGAAGACGGCCUUCGGGUUGUAAAGUUCUUUUAUGUGGGAAGAAGGAAGUGACGGUACCACAUGAAUAAGCCCCGGCUAACUACGUG